Molecule: non-coding RNA, 46 nt
Organism: Schistosoma rodhaini
Lineage: Eukaryota; Metazoa; Platyhelminthes; Trematoda; Strigeidida; Schistosomatidae
Source: Rfam
GCACUGCUGAAGAGUCCCAUGGUGGGACGAAACGGUCGUCCAGUGC